AAAUUGAAGAGUUUGAUCAUGGCUCAGAUUGAACGCUGGCGGCAGGCCUAACACAUGCAAGUCGAACGGUAACAGGAAGCAGCUUGCUGCUUCGCUGACGAGUGGCGGACGGGUGAGUAAUGUCUGGGAAACUGCCUGAUGGAGGGGGAUAACUACUGGAAACGGUGGCUAAUACCGCAUAACGUCGCAAGACCAAAGAGGGGGACCUUCGGGCCUCUUGCCAUCAGAUGUGCCCAGAUGGGAUUAGCUAGUUGGUGAGGUAACGGCUCACCAAGGCGACGAUCCCUAGCUGGUCUGAGA
RNAcentral lists this ribosomal RNA (300 nucleotides) under Salmonella enterica. RNAcentral's name for it is "partial 16S ribosomal RNA". It matches the Rfam family "Bacterial small subunit ribosomal RNA", at positions 1 to 297 of the family's 1533-position model. Lineage: Bacteria; Pseudomonadati; Pseudomonadota; Gammaproteobacteria; Enterobacterales; Enterobacteriaceae. The record is from RNAcentral.